RNAcentral lists this ribosomal RNA (442 nucleotides) under uncultured bacterium. Its description in RNAcentral is "partial 16S ribosomal RNA". It matches the Rfam family "Bacterial small subunit ribosomal RNA", at positions 338 to 795 of the family's 1533-position model. The record is from RNAcentral.
CCUACGGGAGGCAGCAGUAGGGAAUCUUUCACAAUGGGCGAAAGCCUGAUGGAGCAACGCCGCGUGCAGGAUGAAGGCCUUCGGGUUGUAAACUGCUUUUAUAAGCGAGAAAUAUGAUGGUAACUUAUGAAUAAGUAUCGGCUAACUACGUGCCAGCAGCCGCGGUCAUACGUAGGAUCCGAGCAUUAUCCGGAGUGACUGGGUGUAAAGAGUUGCGUAGGUGGCAUAAUAAGUAGCUAGUGAAAUCUGGUGGCUCAACCAUUCAGACUAUUAGCUAAACUGUUAAGCUCGAGACCGUUAGGGGUAACUGGAAUUUCUAGUGUAGGAGUGAAAUCCGUAGAUAUUAGAAGGAACACCAAUAGCGUAGGCAGGUUGCUGGGACGGUUCUGACACUAAGGCACGAAAGCGUAGGGAGCAAACGGGAUUAGAUACCCGUGUAGUC